UCAUGGCUCAGGAUGAACGCUGGCGGCGUGCCUAAUACAUGCAAGUCGAACGAGUUCUCGUUGAUGAUCGGUGCUUGCACCGAGAUUCAACAUGGAACGAGUGGCGGACGGGUGAGUAACACGUGGGUAACCUGCCCUUAAGUGGGGGAUAACAUUUGGAAACAGAUGCUAAUACCGCAUAGAUCCAAGAACCGCAUGGUUCUUGGCUGAAAGAUGGCGUAAGCUAUCGCUUUUGGAUGGACCCGCGGCGUAUUAGCUAGUUGGUGAGGUAAUGGCUCACCAAGGCGAUGAUACGUAGCCGAACUGAGAGGUUGAUCGGCCACAUUGGGACUGAGACACGGCCCAAACUCCUACGGGAGGCAGCAGUAGGGAAUCUUCCACAAUGGACGCAAGUCUGAUGGAGCAACGCCGCGUGAGUGAAGAAGGCUUUCGGGUCGUAAAACUCUGUUGUUGGAGAAGAAUGGUCGGCAGAGUAACUGUUGUCGGCGUGACGGUAUCCAACCAGAAAGCCACGGCUAACUACGUGCCAGCAGCCGCGGUAAUACGUAGGUGGCAAGCGUUAUCCGGAUUUAUUGGGCGUAAAGCGAGCGCAGGCGGUUUUUUAAGUCUGAUGUGAAAGCCCUCGGCUUAACCGAGGAAGCGCAUCGGAAACUGGGAAACUUGAGUGCAGAAGAGGACAGUGGAACUCCAUGUGUAGCGGUGAAAUGCGUAGAUAUAUGGAAGAACACCAGUGGCGAAGGCGGCUGUCUGGUCUGUAACUGACGCUGAGGCUCGAAAGCAUGGGUAGCGAACAGGAUUAGAUACCCUG
RNAcentral lists this ribosomal RNA (808 nucleotides) under Lactobacillus casei group sp. RNAcentral describes it as "bacterial SSU rRNA". It matches the Rfam family "Bacterial small subunit ribosomal RNA", at positions 17 to 789 of the family's 1533-position model. The record is from RNAcentral. Lineage: Bacteria; Bacillati; Bacillota; Bacilli; Lactobacillales; Lactobacillaceae.